AUUUGAGUACUUGACACGGAAAUCUUGGCGCGUCUCCUUUAAGAGGAGGUGAAGCCCCGCCCCACGUGGGAACGCCAUUUCUCAGCGCCCGUUGUGAGGUACGUCACGACGUGGAGGGCCAAUGAGGGCCCGGGAGGGGGGGGCGUUCCUGUGCGUGUGGACAAGGUGGGGGCGGGACUUCCGGAACCGUCCUCCUGGGAUCCCGUCGGCUCGGGGGUUGGCCCUCAUCCGAAGGACCCGAGAGCUGGGUGGGGCGGUCCUGAGGAUUCUCGGCUGGGGCUCCCCUGGCGGCAGGGCCUCGUGGUCUCCGAGGAUGUGGCCUGUGCUUCUCCCAGGAGGAGUGGCUCGGCGCCUGCUGCUUGGAGGUUCACCCUCGAGGAAGACCUCAUGGAUGCAGAGAUGGAAGGCCUUCCACCCAAGAGGCUUCUUCAUUUAGCAGCAGAACGUUCGCGGUAGAGAGGCGUGUGAGUGCAGCCGAUGUGAGAAAACCUUCAGUCAAGGGCCUCACCUCGUAAAGCGUAACGAAGUUCAUGCUGGGGAAAUGCCUUAAAGUGUGUAGGGAGCGUGCUCUCUCCUCGCUCAGCGGAACAGGACGCGUGCCAGAGAUGAGGGACAUUGUUGGCCCCAUGUGACUCGCGAUGGAUAUGUCCAGCUUCCAAGUCAGACUUCCAAGGGAACUGCCUGCCUCCCAUUAUUCUGCUGGGUGUGGAAAUAAAGGCCUUGUUACGGAAGCCACCUUGAACCUGGGGAUUUCGGCUUACUGUGUAGGAUCAGUCAGUACUCUUAUUCUUAGGGGCACUGUGUUCAGUGGACCACCGUUAAAGAUCCCUGGGGACCAAGGUGUUUUGAUUGCGGGCACACACCUGUCUUUCUUGGUGGAUGCACCCCCCUUGCCUUUGGUGGUCGAUUCCUGCCGUUCGCCCUCUGCUCCUCUGGAAUCCCAUCAUCUCCAUUGAAAUUGGGGAGCCCACCUCGGUGGCAGCAUCUGCACCGUCGUGCAUGCCGUCAAGGAGAACAAUCCCGAAGCUUUCCAAGGAUGUGAGUGCUCCUUACCAACGUGCUUCUCGGUGCCGCCGUAGUGAAAGGAACGCCUUCUGGGUCUUCCGGAAGUCCGUAGUGGGGAGGUAGGUGGGCAGGUCACACGGGAUGAAUCCAGUCCAACAUUCCUAUCUCCCUAGGCCUUUGGAUUCCCUCCUGCAUUCCAGGGAAGCUCUGGCAUCUCAACCUAGCUAAAUGUAGGCCAUUUUUGAGGCUAAGUCUCAGUCAGACAGUCAGAUAUGUUGUUUAGAAACACCUCCAGCUGCGCAAGUGAGUGCAUUAAAUCUGGACUCUAGUCCCUUUACCAUCAUCCAUAGAUUUGGCCUGAUCUAGUGUUACGGUCCACCCUCCGUGGUCUGACACCCUUAGAAUCCACUUCACACGUGUUUCCCAUAUUUCUGGUAUAUAUUAGAAGAGACUUGCUCAUUUUCUAGGUGGGUAAGCUAGUCUUCCCGGAGCAUUGUGUAUUCCUGUGCCACUGGAGCAUGCUGUGCUUUGACCUUAGUCAUGUGUCUGGUGGCAACAGGGGGUAGUUGUGCUGGGUCUUGAGAAUAGGUGUCCCUUUUCAAGGCACCUCCCCUUGGCAAGGGUGUCACCGCAUUUUCAAGCAAAGGAAGACGCCACGGACAAACGACCUCUACUGGUGAGGGAGGCUUAGAACAACUUGGGGUUUUAGGAUGAUCCGUUUCCCUGGAUCUAACCAAAUGUCCCCACUCCCAGGUUCAUGCUCCCACCCUUUCUCAGUCAGUGCCUGACUUUCCCUUGAGAUACUGGUGAGACUGAAUCUAGCUGUUCACAAGCAAUACAGUGAACUUUUCUGUAUGAUUUUUAGCAGUGUCAGCCCUGUGACUGCAAGAAAAGAAAGAGGUUCUUUAUUGAAGUAUUCUGGUUCUCAUAUUACUUGUCCUGAGAGUUAAGUCGCCAUGACUUGUCAUUUUCUCUCUGUGUGCACUCCAGUGCACUCGAAGCUCUGUCCCAUACCGUACCGCCUCUAGUCAUCUUUACUACCAUUAAAAAAAAAAAAAAAAAGGUUCAGUAGCCACAGGCGCUCCAAGUCACUUGCUUCAGUCAGCACUUCAUCACAAGCAAGCAAAGGCGAUGGCUUGAUUAAUUCUGAUGCGGGCGCCUGCGGGUAUGCCACGGAUUACUAGCUUCCCGUUUCCCGCUGGCAAUGAGCUCAACACUGCUUAAGCUUGAAAUCACAACACAUCAAUUCCCAGAUCCCACUCUGCAAGUCCGUCUCCUGUGAUCACUCCCGGUACCAGUUCUGUAUCAGUCAGGGUCCAGUCCAGCAGACAGUAACCGCACAAUAGUAUGAUGAGCAAGGAAGGUUUGAGAUAAGGAUUAUUGACUAUUUCCAGGGAGAAAAAAGAGCAUUUGAAGGAAUACCCCGAGGGAGAGUACCCACGGAAGGAACAAGUGUGGAAAGCAGGGAGCCCUCCCUAAGGCUGGAUUGACACCUUGUUGGAGAUGGUGUUUUAACUCAACAGACAGACGGCAGAUAAGAGUUCGCAGGGUUGAUCUGGGCCAGAGUUGGUCCGUAUGACUGAUGGGCGAGAACUCUGAGCUAGUGGAAGACGGGACCCUCCAUCCCCGGCGCCCCCCUCCCCCGCACUGGGGUGCCCACGUGUUUCACCUGGAAGCUGCCCUGGGGAAGGGAGGUGCUGUCAACUUUGCUUAGAAGCCCGCUGGGUCGUGGCUGGGCUUGCUGGUGAGCUGCUGAGAAGCCCUCCAGGGAGUGCCCUUGAACCCUCCGGAAACUGCUUACAGGGGUGCCACUGAGCACCCCACCAGGAAGCCACCUCAGGUGCCCUGAAGCUCGCUGGGAGGCGAGCUCCUGGGUGCACAGCGCUCCAGCCAAGCACCCGGGAACAAGGAGGAAGGAAGGCACCCAGAACCGGGAGGAGAAACUGGCUCCUCCAGUGCCCCUCCAGCUCCCUCUACUGACAGAGCCUGACAUUGCGCCAGCUGCAAGGAAGACGUGGUCUGGACCACAGCAGGACAGUGGGAAGUGGGGUCAGGGCUGAGAGGCCACGCGUUUACCACCGGCACGACCAAAGUCAUGUUAUGACGCUAGCGCACCCUCGAUGGCAAAACCCAGCAAAGACAGCAGGAGAAAAAGAAUACUGGUCUGUGUCACAUGUGCAUGGAUGCAAAAUGCUAAAGAAAACUCAGAAAACUGGAUUUAGCGAUAUAUAAACUGUAAUGCAUUAAGACCACCUUGGGUUUAUAUUGGUGUCCGCUGGCUCUCCACCGAAAUCUGUGCUCUUAUUUCAUAGUAUGGGGCUGUCACCGCGAAGCACCCAGCUGUGACCAGGUGACCUCAUCAGUGGAAUGCUGCCUCCAGGCUAAGGCUUUUAGGAAGAGAGCACGUGGGCCUCCUCCCCGUCUCUUUCCCCUUCUGCUUUCUGGGUGCAGAUGAUGACCGGCCCUUGGGGAUGGAGGAGUUACAAGGUGGUGGCAUGUGAAGAGCUUCCUGCCAAUCCAGCUACCAUCCUGGGCUAAACAGCCGCCAGUCUUUGGUCGUCGUCAAGGCAGCUCCAGGAGAUGGCAGUUCCGUGAACAUCUCCUGAGCCCCCGCUAAGAAGCAGCCACUGUUCCAGGUGCGGGGCGAAUAGGACGGACUGGGUCCUGCCCUCCUGGGACUUUCAGCUGGUGACUCGAAAAGAGGGCAGGCUGAAGCCGCCAGGAUCUCACCGGUUAGGACUGCACGCCCACGCUAGGGAGGGCACACGCCUUUUUGGGCCCCGCCACGCCCCCCAUGCUGACCCUCCACCGAGACGCUCGGAUGGGGUUCAGAGCCUUCCUCCAGGGAGCAGCGCUUUUGGAGAGCACAGGCUCCGGAUGCACAGGCCCAGCGGCCGUGGCUCACGGGCCCAGCCGCUCCGCGGCAUGUGGGAUCUUCCCGGACCGGGGCACGAACCCGCGUCCCCUGCAUCGGCAGGCGAACUGUCAACCACUGCGCCACCGGGGAAGCCCCAGGUACAUUUUAACGCAGCUUAGGGAGGGGUGUUCUCCUGUGCCAUCUUGCUCUUCUCCGGAGGUUACUUGUGCCUCUGUCUUCUCUCCCCCCACCCUCCUUCCCUCCCUCCCCGCUUUCUUCCUUCCAUCAUCGUGGAAUCCACACAUCAGCAACUUACACGCAGUACCUCUGGGCACUGUGCCAGGUCCUGGACGCAGUAGAAAACGAGAUUGGCCAGGUCCUCCCCUCAUGGAGCUUCCAUUCUUGUCCCCCGAGUGUCCCUGUGGACUCCGGCCACCUCACAGCAGACCUCAGAGGGCUAGUGGGCACUGCAUGCCUACGUGACUGGCCUCAGCUACUCAGCCCCCAGAGCAAGACUGGCAUUCGCCAUGGAACACAAUGUUGGCAAAAACUAUCUGGUCACCUGGUGCGAGCUCAAGUCUUCCUGCCCUGUACUCACCUGCUGCUUCUGAAACCUCUUCUUCAGUCCCUGUCAUCCUUGCAGCCUGGGCUGUUUCAAGAUUUAGCAUCCAUCCUCUCUCAGCCUACCUCUAAAAGUUCAGAUUCAUUUUGUACCCCGUGGACCCUAUUUGCUGACUUAAUUCUAGAGUUUUGGACACUGAUCACCUUUCUGAUGGUAAGGCUGUCCUCUUGUUUUGUACACAAGCCAGCGGGUGGUUGGAGGAACCACUCACUGGGCUCGUCCAAGACCCUGGACUCUUUCUCUUUCCCACAGAAGAGACCUCAUGCCCUCCAGCUACCCAUGGCCCAAGACCCCCCCCGCCCCCGCUCCUCAUUAUUACUCUUGAAUCCCUUUAGGACACCUGUGCCUUACAUGUCUGGGUUGUUCUCCCAUUCUUUUUUUUUCAUUUUUAGAUAUUUAUUUACUUAUUUAUUUUUGGCUGAGUUGGGUCUUUGUUGCUACGCGGGCUUUCUCUAGCUGCGGCAAGCGGGGGCUACUCUUUGUUGCGGUGAGAGGGCUUCCCAUUGCAGUGGCUUCUCUUGUUGCGGAGCACGGGCUCUAGGCGCAUGGGCUUCAGUAGUUGUGGCACGCAGGCUCAGUAGUUGUGGUGCACGGGCUUAGUUGCUCCGUGGCAUGUGGGAUCUUCCCGGACCAGGGCUUGAACCCAUGUCCCCUGCAUUGGCAGAUGGAUUCUUAACCACUGUGCCACCAGGGAAGCCCCUAAAUGUAUUUAGAAUUGCAUCACACGGUGUUAUAAUUUUGUUUCAAACAUCAAAUAUAAUUUACAAAACUCAAGCGGAGAAGGAAAGCCUAUUGUAAUUCUCCGUAUCUUUUUCUUAUAUGUGUUUUCCUUCCUUUCUGACAUUCCAAAUUUCCUUCUUUUACUGUUUCCUUUCUGUUUAGAGACUUUUCUUAGUCAUUCCUUAGGGCGGGUCUGCUGGUGACAAAUUCUCUUAAUUUUCAUUCAUCUGAGAAUGUCUUGAUUUCACCUUCAUUUCUGGAUGAUAUUUCCCCUGGUUAUAGCAUUCUGGACACAGGUUUUCUUUUUUUUUUUGACACUUGAGAGAUAUCGUGCUCCUUUUUUCUGGACUCCUUGGUUUCUUAUGAGAAAUCUGCUGUCACUCCAGUUGUUUUUUUCUGUACAGUAAGAUGUUUUUCUCUGGCUGCUUUCGAGAUCUCUUUUUUUGUCUUGAGUGUUGAGUUUUCAGACAUUUAAUGAUGAUGUGUCUUGGCACAGAUUUCUUUGGUUUUUCCUGUUUGGUGUUUGCUCAGCUUCUUGAAUCUAGAGGUUUAUGUCUUUUGCCAAAUUGAUGAAGUUUUCAACCAUUAUAUACUUAACUAUUUUUCAGCCUCUUCCUCUCUCUCCUCUCUUCCUGGACUCUGAUGAUGUGAACGUGUGAUCUCUUGUUAUAUUCCCACAGGUCCCUGAGACUCUUUAUUAUUUUUUUCAGAACAUUUUUUCUCAGUAUUCAGUUUGGAUGAUGUCUGUUUUUCUGUCUCCUGGUUCACUGAGUCUUUCCUGUGUCUUCUCCAUUCUGCUGUUGAGCUUCUCAACUAAGCUUUAUAUUUCAGUUAUUAAAUGUUUUAGUUCUUAAAUUUCCAUUAAAAAUAUAUUCUAUUUCUUAGUUGAGACUUCCUUUACCGAGGCUUUCAAUUUUUUCAUUUGUUUCAAUCAUGUUUGUAAUUGCUUGUUGAAACAUGUUUAUCAUGGUGGCUUUAACAUCUUUGUCAGCCAAUUCUAAUGUCUGCCAGCUCACUGAUGACAUCUAUUGACUGUCUUUUUUUUCACUCAGUUUGAGAUCUUCCUGGUUCUUGGUGUGAUGGGUGAUUUUUAUUGGAAGCCUGUGACCUGCUCUUGUGGAGGAGGGGGUCCUGCCUUGUUACUGUCUGGUGGAAGUAGAGGUCUGAGUUCCCCAGCAAAGAAGUCUCUGCUGUUGUAGGUGAAGUGGGAGGGGGGCACAGUUUUCUCUGUGGUGUUUGGCUGGAGCAGAGCAGUCAUUCUCUAAAAGUUUUCUGUCCUGCCAGGCUGCCUCUUUUCUGAUACUUUGGCUAGAGAGAGCAGACUUUUGUUGUUUUUACUGGGGGUGGGGUGGGGUGGUAUCUUUGCUCAUUGACAGUUCUGGGUUGCAGCCUUGUUCAUAUCCAAGUCUGGAAAAUAUGAGGCAAAAGAAAAGCUGGGCAUCUCCUAUUGUGUUGUCACUUGGGUCCUGGUCUACCAUCUUCUUUCCACCUUUCAGUGUGUUUUAUGUUUGUUUUAUAUAUAAUGUUCAGGGCUUUUAGCUGUACUUAGGGAAAAGCAGGUCUGCUUUCCAUUCCAGAAGCAAAAGAAACAUGAAUUCCUUUUAUAAUAAGAAGAAAUAGGAUGCAAUAAUGUUUCAUCAAAUGUUGCAGGUUAAUUGGGUUGCAGAGAUUAGAGAAUGAACAGAAGACUGCCUUCCAGCUGAAAUAAACUUGAGGGAAAACUCAAGGGGCUGGUUGUAACAGACCGAAUAAUAAAAGCAGCUCUUUUGCUCAUAAACUUUUCUGUUUAAAUAUUCUGACCAGAGUCUCCAAUGAAGUUUUGUCUGUUUACAUUCAUCCAUGACAAAGGAAGACUGAUGCAAGGAACGAUUACAACCCCGUGUAGUUCAUAAAAUUAAUAACUGAGAAAUUGGACUUUUGCUUCCCCAUUCUUAUUUUGCUCUGGCUUUUAGCUGAACCAGUGAUUAUUUUUCGUACCAGAAGCCCUUCCCCAAAGGUCUGCUUAAGUGUUCCAGCAGAUCGGGAAAGCAGCAGGGGGGGUGGCACACGGGCAACUGCAGCCCACAGCCGACCUGCAGGCUCCUCUUUCCGGCUGGCGGAGCCCCUGUUCCCGCUCCUCGAACCCAAACCAUUUCCUCCCUCAGAAGGGAGAGCAGGGAUGAGGUUUCCAGAUUCAAAAGGAGGCUGAAAACAACCUCAGCCCUUUUUAUGGUGCUUCUUUUCCUGGGCAGCACGUGAGGCGGGAUGCAGUGUGUUCUGAGGACAGGGCAGGGCAGCAGCAGGUCCUGCAGUGUCCCCAAGUCCCCAGCCCCCUCUUCGUGCUCUGGUUCCGCCGUUCUCACCUGCGACACAGGCUGCACCGA
Molecule: long non-coding RNA, 7567 nt
Organism: Physeter macrocephalus (sperm whale)
Lineage: Eukaryota; Metazoa; Chordata; Mammalia; Artiodactyla; Physeteridae
Exons: 7
Source: RefSeq, a predicted model, not a curated record